RNAcentral lists this transfer RNA (71 nucleotides) under Pseudomonadota bacterium. RNAcentral describes it as "tRNA-Gly". It matches the Rfam family "tRNA". Rfam says of the family: Transfer RNA (tRNA) molecules are approximately 80 nucleotides in length. Their secondary structure includes four short double-helical elements and three loops (D, anti-codon, and T loops). Further hydrogen bonds mediate the characteristic L-shaped molecular structure. tRNAs have two regions of fundamental functional importance: the anti-codon, which is responsible for specific mRNA codon recognition, and the 3' end, to which the tRNAs corresponding amino acid is attached (by aminoacyl-tRNA synthetases). tRNAs cope with the degeneracy of the genetic code in two manners: having more than one tRNA (with a specific anti-codon) for a particular amino acid; and 'wobble' base-pairing, i.e. permitting non-standard base-pairing at the 3rd anti-codon position. Lineage: Bacteria; Pseudomonadati; Pseudomonadota. The record is from RNAcentral. RNAcentral also lists the same sequence under 1 other name.
GCGGGUGUAGUUUAGUGGUAAAACAUCAGCCUUCCAAGCUGAGGUCGGGGGUUCGAUUCCCCCCACCCGCA